GGGGCGGGAUCACCCGAGGGGAACCCGAGUUCUAAGUUCCGCUCUGCCUUCUAAACUACAACUCCCAGGAAGCAUUGAGGCGAUGUCUGACGGCCACAUCUGCUGCUCCUCAUUGGUCCGGCGGCAGGGGAGAGGGUUUUGAUUGGCUGAGGGUGGAGUUUGUAUCUGCAGGUUUAGCGCCACUGCAGGCUGAGGCUGUGGAGAGUGUGCGGCUCCAGGUGGGCUCACGCGGUCGUGAUGUCUCGGGAGUCGGAUGUUGAGGCUCAGCAGUCCCAUGGCAGCAGUACCUGUUCACAGCCCCAUGGCAGCGUUACCCAGUCCCAGGGUUCCUCCUCACAGUCCCAGGGCAUAUCCAGCUCCUCUACCAGCACGAUGCCAAACUCCAGCCAGUCCUCUCACUCCAGCUCUGGGACACUGAGCUCCUUAGAGACAGUGUCCACUCAGGAACUCUAUUCUAUUCCUGAGGACCAAGAACCUGAGGACCAAGAACCUGAGGAGCCUGCCCCUGCCCCCUGGGCUCGAUUAUGGGCCCUUCAGGAUGGAUUUGCCAAUCUUGAAUGUGUGAAUGACAACUACUGGUUUGGGAGGGACAAAAGCUGUGAAUAUUGCUUUGAUGAACCACUGCUGAAAAGAACAGAUAAAUACCGGACAUAUAGCAAGAAACACUUUCGGAUUUUCAGGGAAGUGGGUCCUAAAAACUCUUACAUUGCAUACAUAGAAGAUCACAGUGGCAAUGGAACCUUUGUAAAUACAGAGCUUGUAGGGAAAGGAAAACGCCGUCCUUUGAAUAACAAUUCUGAAAUUGCACUUUCACUAAGCAGAAAUAAAGUUUUUGUCUUUUUUGAUCUGACUGUAGAUGAUCAGUCAGUUUAUCCUAAGGCAUUAAGAGAUGAAUACAUCAUGUCAAAAACUCUUGGAAGUGGUGCCUGUGGAGAGGUAAAGCUGGCUUUCGAGAGGAAAACAUGUAAGAAAGUAGCCAUAAAGAUCAUCAGCAAAAGGAAGUUUGCUAUUGGUUCAGCAAGAGAGACAGACCCAGCUCUCAAUGUUGAAACAGAAAUAGAAAUUUUGAAAAAGCUAAAUCAUCCUUGCAUCAUCAAGAUUAAAAACUUUUUUGAUGCAGAAGAUUAUUAUAUUGUUUUGGAAUUGAUGGAAGGGGGAGAGCUGUUUGACAAAGUGGUGGGGAAUAAACGCCUGAAAGAAGCUACUUGCAAGCUCUAUUUUUACCAGAUGCUCUUGGCUGUACAGUACCUUCAUGAAAACGGUAUUAUACACCGUGACUUAAAGCCAGAGAAUGUUUUACUGUCAUCUCAAGAAGAGGACUGUCUUAUAAAGAUUACUGAUUUUGGGCACUCCAAAAUUUUGGGGGAGACCUCUCUCAUGAGAACCUUAUGUGGAACCCCCACCUACUUGGCUCCUGAAGUUCUUGUUUCUGUUGGGACUGCUGGAUAUAACCGUGCUGUGGACUGCUGGAGUUUAGGAGUUAUUCUUUUUAUCUGCCUUAGUGGGUAUCCACCUUUCUCUGAGCAUAGGACUCAAGUGUCACUGAAGGAUCAGAUCACCAGUGGAAAAUACAACUUCAUUCCUGAAGUCUGGGCAGAGGUCUCAGAGAAGGGUAUGAAUACGAAAGGGUUAAGAAUUUGUGGUAUGCUAAAAUGUGUAUGUGCUGUGGUGGGAGUUUCUUUCCAAAUUCCAUGGUGUUUUCUCCUGUCAAUUCUGUUCUUAUUUUCUGUUGUUAGUUUCACACCAUUUGAGAGGCACUGGAAAUUAUUAAGAGUGUGCACUCAGGUCCUGGGUCUGCUACUACUUAGCUGUGUGGCCUUAGGCAAGUUAUUUAACCUCUGUCUCCAAUUUCUUUCUGUGUAAAGGGACCCUCAAUAAUCCCUACCUUAAAAGGUUUUUGUAAGGGUUAAGUAUAAUGUACACAAGUGCCUGGUACCUAUUUUAGUGCCCAAAAAAAGUGCACUUGUAACUUUUUAGUUACAGGGUUUCCUUUGAGUAAGCAAGCAUGUAAAAAUGAUGUCAUUAGUUAUCUUGUAUUUUAUAAUUUAUCCUGGCAACUUUAGUUCCCCAAAGAGAAAGUAGAAAAUUAAAUGUCAAAUAAUAUAACAUAGGCGAUUGUGUUAAAUGUCAGAAUAUUUAAGGAAUAAUAGUGUUGUAAUAUACAAGCCAGCGUGCAUUUGUUGCUUGCUGGAGUAGUCAAGUUUUAUUUCUGACAAGUCUGCAGUUCUCUCCCUGGCUAAGUAACUCUCACCCAUCCAUCUGUAGAUGUCAGGGAGAGUUUGCUACGUAUCCCAAGUAUCUUAGAAUUGGGUGGAAGUUUAGCUUUAAUUAGUUUGACCUUGAGUCAACAGGCAACAAGAGAGGGAACAGGCAGCGAAAGAGGUGGUGACUGACAUCCCAACAGCAGGAGACAGGGAGUAUCAUUAUCAUUCCUGGUCUUCUCAUAGUACUCUGAAUACAGAGAGUGAGGAAGAUUAGGGGGCCCUGUCUGCUGACUGUGAUGAUCUCAGACCCUCUCUGCUCUUUCUGGAUGGUGGCCUAUUAAUUCUGGCAUACUAUUACGAUUUAAUAUAUUUAUCCUUUUCACUGUGAUUUGCCCAAUUGUUGCUUUAGCUCUGGACCUUGUCAAGAAGUUGUUGGUAGUGGAUCCAAAGGCACGUUUUACGACAGAAGAAGCCUUAAGACACCCGUGGCUUCAGGAUGAAGACAUGAAGAGAAAGUUUCAAGAUCUG
This is a non-coding RNA of Chlorocebus sabaeus (green monkey), 2732 nucleotides long. The record is from RefSeq and is a predicted model, not a curated record. Lineage: Eukaryota; Metazoa; Chordata; Mammalia; Primates; Cercopithecidae.